UGCCGGUGGCACGGGGGGAGGAACAGUGA
RNAcentral lists this small RNA (29 nucleotides) under Bombyx mori (domestic silkworm). RNAcentral describes it as "ovarian small RNA-33797". The record is from RNAcentral. Lineage: Eukaryota; Metazoa; Arthropoda; Insecta; Lepidoptera; Bombycidae.